CUCUCUGAAUUUAUAAUAAUAUUCAGAUUAAUCCUCACACACGCGGGUGUGCGGCGGUUUACCUGCAGGUCCGUCUUGGUGAGCGACGCCCCGGCCUCCACCAGCAGGUGACAGAUGCUCCUCUGACAGUAGGUGGCAGCCUUGUGCAGCGCCGUGUCACCACUGAAACACAAAACACACGGACGUGGCGUUCAGGUGUCGUGGAGAAAAACGGGAAAGAAAGAAAAAAAAGUGGACUCACGUCUCUUUCUCCGUCACGUCCAGGUGAGACGUCGGGACUAAACGGAACGAGACGACAACAACAAAAGCCUCUCCUGUGACGUCAUGCGUGUCUUACCGUUGUCCACGAGGUAACUGACGAUGUCUUCGCUGCCGACCUGCACGGCGUGAUGGAGCAGCGUGCAGCCGCUGCUGUCCUGCAGGAGGAGGUCUGCCCCCUGCUGGUGGAGCGUCAUCAGCUGCACAACAACACACACACACACACACACCAGAGAGUGAGCGCGGUCACAUUGAGAGCAGGGCUUCAAACAGAAGACACUCACUGUGUGCAGGUCGUCACUGUGGACGCAGCCAAUCAACUGGUCCACUGAAAGACGAGCAGACAUGUGGACGUUAAAGGGACAGUUCAGUUACACAUCAUCACACAACUGUAAACACUACACAAAAACCACUCACUCUCCCACACCAAAGUCCAUAGAGUCAGUGAUUUUAAAGUCACACACACACACACAGGAGUUGUUGAUCCACUGCUGCCUCCAUCACUCAGUUCUAAUGUCUUAUUUUGAAAUCCUUUGUUCAGAUUUACUUCAGUGACACAAAGUGACCACACGAGGCAGCAGAGGACCAGCAGCUCCUGUGUCCCUGUGAGCUAAAACCACUGAUUUUCUCUCUGGACUUUGGUGCGGGAGAGUGAGCAGCUCACUACCUUCAGCUUUCUUUCCUAGUUUCUAUCGGUCUGUCAGUGUGGAGUCCUUUACCUUUGUCGGGGUCAUGUGACGCAGCCGAGGAAGGACUGUUGGAGACGAGCAGAAGGUCAGAGCUGUACCUGGUCCACGCUGUCCUGCAGACGGUCGAUGAGCAGGCGGCAGGUCUCCAGGUCGCUGUCUCCGGGGACGGUGAUCGCGCCGAGCGGCGUUGCUGCAGAGACACGGGACUCACCGGCCUCCUUCAGCUGAUCCUUGUCGUAGUGAAGAGCCUCGUACGCCGCCAUGCUGAUCCUGUUCACUGUGAUCUGCAGCUUCUCAGGGAUGGGCUGCUGACUGCACACACACACACACACACACACACACUUAAACAAAGACUCACGGAAUAAAAUCCACACCAGAUUGAGACUACAGUGUCUUUUAAGAAUAUAUUCUCAUUUGUAUCUCAAACUUCAGCCUGAAAACCUGACUCUGUGCCUCUUUGUGAACCCUGUAUGAGUCACACCAAACUCCACAGAAGAAAAGAGCGUUUUUAACAUCACAGUUCACAGCAGUUGUUGAUCCACUCCAGCCUUCGUCGCUAAGUUCAAAUGUUCAAAUGUGAUAUUCUGUGACUCUGUGUUUGAAAACUUUAAUUCAGAUUUACCUCAGAGGCACAAAGUGACCACACGGAGCAGCAGUGGACCGACAGUUCCUGUGUCACGACGUGCUGAAAAUCGCUGAUUUUCUCUAUGGACUUUGGUGGUUUAGAAACUGCAGAUUCUCGUCUGUCUCACUGUGAGUUUACGUGCUAAACAUCUUAAGCUGGUGCAGAUCGAUUAGGCGAGGCUUUAAUCUUUGGUUCUCAGGGCAGGGGGCGCUCACAGGUCACACAAAAACCUGAACUAUCUCUGUAAAACCCUUCAGGUAGGUCAUGUGUUUGUCUGCAGGCUGAGGAGCAGCUGUGACUGGUUCUCACUCGUUGA
Molecule: long non-coding RNA, 1888 nt
Organism: Solea solea (common sole)
Lineage: Eukaryota; Metazoa; Chordata; Actinopteri; Pleuronectiformes; Soleidae
Exons: 4
Source: RefSeq, a predicted model, not a curated record